Molecule: long non-coding RNA, 539 nt
Organism: Actinia tenebrosa (Australian red waratah sea anemone)
Lineage: Eukaryota; Metazoa; Cnidaria; Anthozoa; Actiniaria; Actiniidae
Source: RefSeq, a predicted model, not a curated record
UCUUUUCAGUCCUAAACACAACCAUCGAACAACAUAUCUAGACUUGUGCAUUCACUCAUACCUAUAUUCAAAAUGAAGGCUGCUCUCCUAGUAUUAGCACUUCUGGUCAUCGCCCUAUACCCAAGAGAAUCUGAUGCAUUUACUGCUGGUAUUGGUAAUGUUGGUAAACGACAAUACAAGGUUGAACGAGCCUUUGAAAGAGUCUGUAGAAUCACAAUGGAGGCCUGUGUUCAAGCAUCCGCUAAACGAAGCGCUGAAGACUCAGAUUCACCUCUUUUAAAGAACUAAAAAAAUGGACCCGACUCCGAAUACAAACUAACAUUAGAACAAAUAGCAUGAAUGGGAAAGAGCGAGAAUGAACGACAACUAUGUGACAAUUCAUGUAUAUUUAAGCGUGUCCUGCUGCUUAUUGUAGAAAAAUGUAACCUAGGUGUGGUGCACAAUCGUGAAUGUCAGAUAUGGUGUCUUGAAAUAAAUGGAAUAUUAUCGAAAUGGAUGAUAAAUAAAUAAAUAUUUAAUAAAUUGGCAAAGCUAACGAA